UACGGAGGGUGCAAGCGUUGUUCGGAAUCACUGGGCGUAAAGGGCGCGUAGGCGGGCGUGAAAGUCGGUUGUGAAAUCCCCGGGCUUAACCUGGGAACUGCAGUCGAUACUACACGUCUUGAGUGCUUGAGAGGGUGAUGGAAUUCCUGGUGUAGAGGUGAAAUUCGUAGAUAUCAGGAGGAACACCGGAGGCGAAGGCGGUCACCUGGCGAGACACUGACGCUGAGGCGCGAAAGCGCGGGGAGCAAACAGG
This 253-nucleotide ribosomal RNA is filed under the name uncultured bacterium. Its description in RNAcentral is "partial 16S ribosomal RNA". It matches the Rfam family "Bacterial small subunit ribosomal RNA", at positions 524 to 776 of the family's 1533-position model. The record is from RNAcentral.